Molecule: ribosomal RNA, 1174 nt
Filed under: Parvicapsulidae gen. sp. EK-2011
Lineage: Eukaryota; Metazoa; Cnidaria; Myxozoa; Bivalvulida; Parvicapsulidae
Description: SSU rRNA
Rfam family: Eukaryotic small subunit ribosomal RNA
Source: RNAcentral
GGUGGGCCUACAAGGUUUACCAUCGGAAUGAACGUAACUUAUAACCUUCGUUGAGUAACAACUGGAGGGCAAGUCUGGUGCCAGCAGCCGCGGUAAUUCCAGCUCCAGUAGUGUAUUUCAAAAUUGUUGCGGUUAAAACGCUCGUAGUCGAAUUAUAAAAACGUUAUUAAAGUCUAAUUAGCUACAUAUAAGUAGUUAAUUGGGUGACGUUUUUUUGUCGCAAGUACUAAUCGUGGGCUUCAAUGCUUGUGGUUAGUCGCUUGCGAAGCGUGCCUUGAAUAAAGCAAAGUGCUCAACGCAAGCGUAACGCUAAUAUGUAAUAGCAUGGAACGAAUUGAAAUGUGCAGGCGUUAGUUUAGUUAGUUGGUGGGGCUGCAAACUUUGCAUGUAGUCUACCUUGCAAGCAAUUGCUCGGUUYUCUUAUGUGUCUAGUGUGUAGUCCGCCGGGUGGUCUGUGUCCAAUGGGUUGCCGGGGUGGUUAAACAUCCCGGUUGGACGUUGGACGCUCACAGGCCAUUCGGUACUAAACUGCCUGUCGGUUAAGAGGGACAUUUGAGGGCGUUAGUACUUGGAGGCGAGAGGUGAAAUUCUUAGACCCUCCAAAGACUGACAAAUGCGAAAGCAUUCGCCAAGAGUGUUUUCAUUGAUCAAGAACGAAAGUUGGAGGUUCGAAGACGAUCAGAUACCGUCCUAGUUCCAUACAGUAAACGAUGCCAACACGCGAUCAGUCUGAAGUAAUUUGGAUUGAGGUUGGUCGCCCAGGGAAACUGUAAGUGUUCUGGUUGUGGGGAGAGUACGGUCGCAAGGUUGAAAUUUAAAGGAAUUGACGGAAAGGCACCACCAGGAGUGGAGCCUGCGGCUUAAUUUGACUCAACACGGGACAACUCACCAGGUCCGGACAUUGGUAGGAUUGACAGACUGAUAGAUCUUUCAUGAUUCGAUGAUUGGUGGUGCAUGGCCGUUCUUAGUUGGUGGAGUGAUCUGUCAGGUUUAUUCCGGUAACGAGCGAGACCACGAUGUCUAGUUGAUGGCCAAACCACGACAGGGUAAAACCAAAGUGGUGCUUAUUUGCAUUCUGCAUGCUGUUGCAGUGUGAGUAGUUGGCGGCAACGUCGGCUAUUUGCGCUGUGGCAGUGUGUGGGAUGCAUUAUGUACCAGGUGGUUUGGAUACUAG